This 12549-nucleotide long non-coding RNA is filed under the name Sorghum bicolor (sorghum). Its description in RNAcentral is "long non-coding RNA (SBIC_LNC003077)". The stretch from base 3985 to 4091 matches the Rfam family "Plant small nucleolar RNA R71". Lineage: Eukaryota; Viridiplantae; Streptophyta; Magnoliopsida; Poales; Poaceae. The record is from RNAcentral.
UGAGUAAGAGUAAACUGUCAAGACUUAAAACUUACUUACUUUACCUUCACCAUGGGACUUGUAACUGUCACUUCUGUCUUGAGUGGUUAAAAGAUAGAACAGUCUAGCCAAGUGCCAUGUCUCUUAUUCUUGAUCAGCUAUAGCUCUGGGGUUUUUGCAGAUUUUCAAAUAAAACUCAGAAUUCCUUGUAUGAUUCUCUCAGGUCUCUCUUUUGUGGUAUUUUUGGAUCCUUACCAAGGCAUUGAUGGUAUAUGCCUUCUCUCAAGAUAUGUGGUAUUUGUGGUAUGAGGCAUAGUAACAUUGCCUUCUCUCUCACCCUACUCUAAUAAGGCUUUAAUAUCUGGAGCUCAUAGGUGGGAGAUAAAAUAUACAUACUUACAAGACAUUUAUUGCAUAGUCAAACCAUGGAUCCAAAGUAACAAGUCAAUAAGUUUAAUCAAGAUGUGCAUGUGUGGCGAAUGAAUGGUAUAUGGUGAUGAUGGUGAUAACAAUGGUGGUGGAAGUCUAAUUCUACUUUGCUCUUUUGAGGGGAUACAUACCUUCCUUGCUUUUGAAACUUUAUGAUGAGAAUGAGAUGCUCUUCUUUUUCUUUUCUCUCGAGGUUCCGAGCACUUGCUCCUUUUUAUUUCCUCGUAUUAUUUUCUCUCUCUUUUUUUUAGAGCACUCAUCUCUUGAGAUAAUAUAGCAAGUGGUAGUAACAAGAUAACUUGAGCAUUUAUUUCACAAAGGGGAAAACAGAAAAUAUUUUUGGUUAUUCUCUCCCGGAUUAGGAGUAGAAUAUUUUUAGGUGGUUCUGGAGAUGGAAUGGGUGGAUAUAUGUGGAUGGUACUUCCGGAGUAGAAGUAGCAUAUAUGAGUGAACGUGCAAGUGAAAUCUUGAUUUAACCACAUGACAAGCUCCUAAGGGUCUACACAGCUUGACCAUACUCAAUGCUCAUAAGCAGUAAAUAGUAAAUGCGUGGCUCAAGGUCUAGCAAGCAUGUAUAUAUGGCUGUGGUAGGAAUUUAAACUCUCAUCAUACAGGAACUCAUCAUGCAACAUUUUAAAGAUUUUCAAAGAUAAAAUUCUCCAGAAUUCUAGCAUCUCUAGGAACAGAUAAACAGCAGCUCAGCCUUUCCAUAUCGUAUCCGUUAACAACUUAGACUUCAGAUCAAGUUUUCAUCCCACAAGUUUAGGUCUAGGGCAAGCUUUAAAUUAUAACAGUUAUGUCUAAACUUGAGAGAGAACUUAAAAUGUGCAAAUUAGGCAGAGCAACUAUUCAUCAUAUCCAUGCUUAAGUUUUAUUAGAUACAGAUUAGCAUAGCCACUUUAUUUAUUAAUUAAACACACUAAGCAAAAGAUAUAUAUAUAAGCAUAAAAUCUUUAUUUGGUUUUCCCAUAGUUUAUGUGUAUUUUAAUAUUCUAAAAUAAUAUAAGUAUAAAGAUAGAUAGAAAUACUUAUCGUGAUAAAUGGGGGUGCUCUCCCCCAAGCUGAAUUUUGACGUAAUUUCUCUUGAUAUAGCUAGCAGGUGGCAGAGGUGUAGUUGAAAGUCAGCAGCAUUCUGACAACGAUUAGAAUGUCCUCCGUAUGCUAGUCUUCUUGAAUUCUGUGGAGCUCAAAUAGACAACAAAGCUUGUGGAACUGAUUAAGUGUUAGCAUAAAUAUAUAACCUUCAUCAUCUUGAGACUCCUUAAUAAUUAUUACUCCCUGUUUUUAUAUUUUUAUUUUAUAAAGCAGAAAAAUAUUUAUUUUAUUUUUAUGCCACCACAGUGAAUGUACUUAUGGGUUUUAUGCCACUUGUCUACUCACAUGGGGCUUACUGUUUUUCACAUUUUUAUUUUGUUUUAUUUUUAAGAUAGUAUGAAUAUGAUUAACUAAGUAAACUAUUUAAAAUAAUUGAAAGGGAAAGGAUAACUACCAAGUUUACCUCUUGGCAAGGCGUUCGGUGUUUUUAAGUCCUCCGAACGGGACUCUCCAUUUUCUCAAUCGUCCUGAGGUUCGUUGGGUGGCGUAGUCGGUACUUCCGGCAGCGCCUCCUCUUCUUGUAUAGUUAUCUUCAUUUUCCACACCUGACUCGGUGCUUCAAUCUCCUCUGGAUAAUUCUGUUUAAACUCUAUGUCUUCUGACCUUACAACUUCUCCUUCAUAGUCUGCCCAUCCGUCCUUGAUGAUCUGCCUCCUCUGGUUGCGGUUGCGUCUCUUUCUGACCUGCUUAGAUUCUUCAACAAUAUAGUUAGGGUUAGUAAAGUAACGGCGUACCUUCUCUGAGGGGAAGUGCAUAUGGACUUCUCCGGUUCCAAUCUAGAUAAUUGCUUUAACGGUGCUGAGGAACGGUCUUCCAAGGAUGAUGGGUGGAUCAUAUUCGUCUUCUCCCAUGUCAACAACUUGAAAGUCUGUGUAGACAAAGUGAUCGUCUAUUUUGACUGGGACAUCAGAUACUAUUCCUUGAACUUCUCGAAAUGUCUGAUCUGCCAUCUGGAGUUGAAUGUAUGUUGGUCUUAGUGGCAUGGUUCCGAACAAGAGCCGAUAGGUGACUGCGGCCAUUAUGUUGACGCCUGAUCCGGUGUCGCAAAUCGUCUUGUAGAAGUUAUAUCCAUUUAUGGAGCAGUAGAUGCUUGGCAUUCCUGGAUCGUCCUUCUUGGUCAAAAACGGUGACUUCAAUUGGUGAUCUUGGCCUCCAUGGACUACAGUGACCAUCUUAGCUGACUCGGUCCACACUUGCUUGUUCCUGUUUCUCCUGUUGGUCCUCUUCCUUGAUUUACGUCUGGAUUGAUCUUGAAUUUGUGUAGUCUUGUUCUUGAAGAAAAAUAUCUCCUUCUUCCCUUUGACGUAGAAACUGAUCUUAGCAGCACUGGCAUAGAUGAUAGCUCCCGUGGUGUUCAAGAAUGGCCUCCCUAGGAUGAUAGGUGCUCUCUCAUCAUUUCCGGUCUCUACCACUACGAAGUCUGCUGGUGCAUACAAGGUACUAACUCGGACACAAAGGUUUCUCACUAUUCCUUUUGGAAAAGUUAUCGUCUGAUCUGCAAACUGCAAACACAUGGUUGUCUCUAAUAAAGGAUAUGUAAAGAAUUUCUCAUAGAGUACCCUGGGUAUAAUGUUGACACUGGAGCCAAAGUCACAGAGUGCUUCUGGGAAGUCCACCAUGCCGAUGGAGAUCGGGAUGACGGGGCGUCCUGGAUCGCCUCUCUUGACUGGCAGACGGUCAGUAGAAAAUUCAGUGACGGGGUUACUCCAAUUACCUGCAUCAAACACGUCUACAAGAUUUGCAGAUUCUAAUCCUUCCGGUUGUGAUGGUAUACCGGGGUUAGUAGUAGGAACAGCAGCAGCUAUUUGAUUUAACUGGGAUUCAAUCAUUUUAUUAAAGCUAAUUUGAUUCUUGAUGGCAGUAGAAAAAUUAUCCAUUCUAUUAUUUAUAUUUUCUAGCAUUUUAUCAUUAGAUGCCAAUUUCUUAGAUAGGUUAUCCAUUAGCUUUCCUUGAUUAGACACUAACUCUCUCAAAGGUGGAAAAUUAUUAUUAUUAUUGUAAGAAUUGUUACCUUGAUAAUUACCUGAGUAGUUAGGCCUUUGUUGAUUCCAACCUUGAUUUUGUUGAGGACGGUUGUAGUAGUAGUUGUUGUUGUUGUUGAUGUAGUUCACAUCCUUAAGUAUCUCAGGGCAGUGGUUGCCUGAGUGUCCAGUGUCUCCACACUCCUCACAAGUCAUGUGAGAAUCGUAGAUGUGCAUAACUUCUUUCUUGUCUCCAGCUCUAUCAUCGAGCUUCUUCAUGAGCAGGUCUAGCUUUGCAGACAGCAUGUCUACCUCCUUCAGCUGAUGCAUACCUCCACCUCUCUUGCGUGUCUGGGUCCUCUCUUCAUUCCAGCUUUGAUUGGACGCCAUCUUCUCCACAAGAGCUGUGGCUUGUGGUAUAGUAAGUGAUAAGAAUGCUCCUCCAGCUGCAGCAUCCAUAGUCUCUCGGGCACUGUUGCUGAGCCCAUGAUAGAAUGUCUGCAUCAAUAGCCAACUCUCCAUUCCAUGAUGGGGACAUUCUAGGAUGUAGUCUUGAAAGCGCUCCCAUGCUUCUGGAACAGAUUCAUUAUUUUGUUGCUGAAAACUUGUAAUCUUCCCACGGAGAGCAUUGGUCUUGCCCAUGGGAAAGAACUUAGCCAGGAAGUUUGUUGAGCAGAGUGCCCACGUAGUAUUCUUCUCCUUUGUAGCGUAGAACCACUGCUUCGCUCUUCCUAACAGUGAGAAUGGGAAGAGGCGAAGUAGUAUAGCGUCUUUGGAAACUCCUGCUAUGGUGAAUGUGUUGCAAAUCUCCAGGAAGUGUUGUAAAUGAGCACUAGCAUCUUCGUGUGCCUUCCCACAGAACUGGUUGGAUUGCACCAUGUUGAUAAGUCCAGGCUUGAGCUCAAAGUUGCCAUCGAUCUCUGCAGCAGGUCCAGUGCGGAUGUUGUCCGUAGUGGGAGCUGAGAACUCGCGGAUUGAUUUGUUCGCCAUGGCUUCGAACUCUGAAGACAAGUUCCGGUGAUCUUCUUGAUUGGAUGAAGCUUCUUCAUGAAGUGUUGAUGAUUUCUUUAGCUUGGCUCUCGUCUUCUUGAAUAUGCUUCGGGAUUGUCAACAAAAUUUCCUGGAAGAUGUCUUCUAUUCAUACAUUCCCCUGCAUAUGAUAAAAUAGAAAAAUAUCGGGGUAAGACUGUAUGAGAGAAUAGAUAAGCUCAAUCAUAUUAGUGAUGCGAAUGAUAAAUCAAAAUCUUUUAUUCCAUUCCUGAUUAGUAAUCAACCUUCCCCGGCAACGGCGCCAAAAAUGCUUGUUGGGUAUUCUUAACAUCAUUACUAAAAGUAGACUAAGUUCUAAAUCUAGCAACGGUGCCAAAAAUGCCAAACCUAUCCCUUACACCACUUAAGCCAAGUUGUCAUCCCCAGCAUGAUAUAAGAGACGCGGUAUUGAAAUAUGCAAUUGCUCUUCUAAAUAAAUAAUGAAUGGGAUCUGCAAGCGCACAGAUUAAUACCGAUGCAGCAUUUUAACCGGGAAGUAUUCCAGGUAUCGUUAUUUAUAUUUUUACCACUGGGAAGGGAUUAGUCAAUCAUCACUAUUGAUUACAGAAUAGAAUAUGAGAUUGAGCAUCUAUCAUUGCAUGUAUAAUUGAGAACAUUAUAUCUAACUCAUCAUACAGGGAUAAGUGUCACAUAAAAGAUAUAUGAAAUGAUAAUAGUGACAAGGAUAACUAAUCUGAUCUAGCCACAUAAUAAAUAUGAUAAGCACCUCAAUUAGAUACUCUAGAAAGUCAUUAGCAUGGUAUUAGAACGAACUACAAGAAUAUUCCCUAAGUUAUUCUCAACUAUAUAGUCUAGCAUAUCAUAGUUAGUGCAAGCAUACUUAGCAAUCAUUGCGAGACAAGACUACGCCCAUGCAUAGUGAUAUUAGCAAGGAAUAUGAGAAACAUAGCAAUCACUCCCCUGUAAUAAUGUUGCUCUGCCAGCCCAAUACACGAGAGGGGGACUAUAUAAGAAUCAAUGAAGCUGUCACUAUCACGAACUACCCCACGAUCUGGCAUAUUGGGUACAAUCGCAGAUAAAUACGGUAUAAGCACCACGCCUACACAAUAUCUAUCAUUUACCCAUGGAUCCGAUGGAUAAACGCUAUACGAUCCUAAGCAUGUAUAUAGAUCGUAUCUAACUAAGCCAAGUACAUAACUAUGAUAAACUAAGAACAAUAUAAUCUUGAAUAUAAGCAAGUAGAGCAAAGUCAUAAGCAAUAUAUUGAAGUAGAAUAAAGUCAUAUUCAUAAUAUUGAAGAACAAAGAUAAUUAGAAAGCAAUUAGAAGCACAAUUAGAGAAUUACCAAGAAUCCUCCUGACAGAUCCGGAAACCUAUCGAAGAUUGACUCCUUCUAGUUCUAAUCCUAUGUAGCUAUGCUAAUCUAGAUAUCUAAUUGAUGUGGUGGCUCUAAUCUUGAUCAGAGGCUUCUUCUCCCUUGAUGGAACAAUGAAUUAGGGUUGAGAGGCUCUCUCCUCCAAGGGCCAGGGGGUCUAGUUUUAUAGUCCCUUCAAGUGAAUAUGGGCCCUUGGAUCAAACCGACAUAGAUUGUAUGGUUUAGAUUCAUCCUUUAGGUCGGUGGAGACUUCCCGCAAAGCAGAGUCCUGAUUGGACUCCAGAGGUGGGCGGGCACCCUGACCAACUGGGCGGCCGCCCAGGGUGUGGCCCCGUUUCGCAUCCGCUUCGGUCUCGUGGCUUCUGGAGUCUUCUAGAUGUAAGAUAAUUGCGCAGCACGUUAAUAUCUUUACGUAAUCCUGACAUGUGGGCCUUUCUUCCAUAUUUCCUGAUAACUCCCUGCAGAAAUAGACAAACACCAAAACUCGUGGAAUUCUGUCAGAUAAAACCCUAAGUCUAGAUCUUGAUUUCAUUUGGAUCCUUUUCUUUAUUUAUUUGAUAAUUAAAUUUGAUACUUAAGGACCGUCAACAAUCGUCCCAAAGAUUCCUUUAUGACUUUUGUUGUGGGGGUUAAGACCAAAUUUUUAAAUAAUUUAAGUGCAAAAGAUUCACACAUGAUGUUGAUCCCCACAACAGGAUUAUAGAGAGCAUCAAAUCGAUGAGAAUCAUAAGCACAGCGUAUAGUUAUAGGAGGUGUGUCCAAACGGAUCACAUCAGAGGAAAGCUCUGACUCCUCCAACCAUUCGCUACUCAUCACUGUGAUAAGCUCUCUCAAUUGAUGUUCAGUUGGCAAACAAAUGCUAAAAUGGCUAUUUUGGGGUCUGUCUAUAGAUGGUAGUUUGAAAUGUUUCCAAAAUCGGCAAAAAGAUCAGAUUCUAUUUCCAGCAUGAAAUUAGGUGGCGGAAUUUCUUCCUUUUGUGGCUCAGAACUUGGGAUAGCUAAAGUAGAUGGAGAAUUUGGCAGAGUGUCUACUUUGGCUUCGUGGGUUUCAUCAUGAAGUGUAUUAUCCAUCUCAGCUUCUAGGAUUCUAUCUAGGAUCACUCUAGCGUCAUCAGUAGGGAUGCGAAAGAAAGAACCCCUAGACAUUGUAUGUAGCAUUUGUUUAUGAUCUUUCUAAAGACCUCAAUAAAAUGAAAUAAUAGAACAAGAUCUUCAAGAUUAAGGUUUGGACCAGAUUCUAAAAGAUCAGAAAAAUGUUUCUAGGAUUUUCCCAAAGUUUCAUUAUCUUUUUGUUUAAAAGAUAGGACUUCCAUUCUAAGGUCGCCGAUAUGGUCGAGUGAAUAAAAAUCUAGACAAAAGUUGGCUCGUAAGACUCCCCAUUCACCUCGUUGUUGACUUACCUUCUGACUAUACCAUUGUCUAGCUUUUCCCCUUAAAGAAUAAGGAAAAAGCUUCCAACGUAAAGUCUUAUCAGAAAUGCCUUCAAUACGAAGACAAUCACAUGUUUGCUCAAAAUCUCUAAUGUGAAGGUAAGGGUUUUUGUCUUCCUUUCCUGAAAAGGAUAGGUUUUGAAGCAUGGCAAUCAACCUGGAACUUAACCUAUACUGGGAUGUUUGGAUAGGCUGUGAUGACUCCCAUGGUAAAAUGUCAGUUUCCGAAGGUAUUGCAAAUUGAUAGAUCGAUUUAGAAUCUUGGUUUUCCAUAAGGUAAGAAUAAAGAAAAUAAAGAAUAUAUAUAAAAAGAUAAGAAAAGAUAAAAGUAUAGAUACAAGCUAGUAGUAAGACUCAAGGUUAUCUCAGCAAACCGUCUUUCUCCCCGGCAACGGCACCAGAAAUGCUUGUUGAUAUUUGGUAACGCAAAAAGAAUUAAUCCGCAAGCGCAUGGAUAUCGGUGAGGACUUCACCCGGGAUGUUAUCCAGAGUAUCGUAUUUAUAUUUUUACCACUAGGAGAAGAGUGCAUCUGACUAACCUGGUCUAUUACUACUAACCUUUAGGCUACAAAGAAUGUGAUUCGAUGUGAGUGAUGUAUAGAGAACACUACAACCACACUCUCGUUCUAACCUUGGUAAGGAUGAUCUACUGUUCUGCUGGGGAAGCUCACAGAAUCUAGACACCACAGAGGAUGUUUGACCCGCACCUAUAAACCCUAUCGAUCCGACUAACGGGAUAUGGGCUACAAAGGUAACUCGGAAAUGUCACGUUCCUUGCUACUACCACGGUUUAGCUAGUCAGGGGAUAUCUAUGAGUAUCCUAUCCCAAACACCAUGUUUACACUAGAGAUGAUUACUCUAAACUCUACGCGAAGAGAUCAAAGUAAACUCAUAAACCAAAAAACAAUAAAACAAGAACUUACUAGAAUUUAGAAGUCGAAAUACUGAAGAAUCCUAGGAGAAAGCCUCAGGUUAGGAGACUUGAUCCCGCAGGUACAACCUUGGAGUAGAUGUUGACACUUGCUAACACCACUUGAAUACUAGGUUGUCAUCCUCAGCAUGGCACUAGAGUGUACUAUGGUAUUUAUACGCACGCCGAUAAAUCCGCAAGCGCACAGAUACCGUUGUAGCUUUUACCCGAUUGAAGGUUUUAUCGUAUCCACAGGGAAACGGGAGAACUAAUCUACGCUCUAACUUAACCUAGAUAGAUAGGUAAGUGUAAACAGGAAAGAUGGUAGAAUUGAAUAAGAACAAUAUUGAAGGUAAUAUAACAGUGGGUGACAAUAUGGGUAUAGAGAGUAGAGCAAUCUAGUAUAUGGGCGAUGGUAGGAGAAUAGAGAGGAUAACUAUGGUUUCUCUACUUCAAAGGGGUAUGUCUAUGUCUGGGACGAACCACGUGAUAAGAAUACACCACAAAGGAUGAUUAUUCAUAGGCCAAUAAACCCUACCCGUCCUGCUAACAGGAGGUGGACUACAGGGGACCAACGUAACUAUCACCUACGCGGCCUACCAUACAAUCCAGUUAGACAGGGGAUAUCCACAAGUAAUCUAGGUCUAAGCACCACGCUUACACCUAUACUACAACUCUAACCUAUGGGGUCCUAUAGAUUAAAAGUAAUCAAAAAAGUUGUGAACCAGAACAUACAUGAAUAGUAAUUGCAUAAUGAAAUAGAAGUAGAUUACCAGAGUCAUCGCAUGAGCAAGCUUGAUUAGAACUUGAUCAUGGCAAAGUACAACCAGAGGAAGAAACGACAGGCCGGCCUCUCCUCCAAUCCUCCCUCGCUCUCCAUCUCGCUAUUAUCUAGAUCUACUCUAGUUUAGAGAUGAGAGGACAGCUCUCAUCUCCAAACCCUAGCUCUUGCUCUAUCUAUGUAGAGGAAAGGUUAUCCUUCGAGGGCACCUCUCAACUCUACAAUGAACUUGUCCUGCCCCAGGGGCCAGGGGGUCUGCUUAUAUAGUCCCCUCAAGUGAAUCUGGGCCGUCGGAUCAAACCGACAUUGAUUGAACGGUUAUCCUUGAUCCUUUAGGUCGGUGGAGCGUAAUCCGCGAGACGGGUUCUGAUUGGACUCUAACUCAGGGUGGGCGCCCUACCCCCGGGCCCGAUCGCCUUCCUGUUUGUUCUCGUCGCUUCUAGAGUCUUCUAGAUGAUAGAAAAUUGUGCGGCACGUUAAUAUCUAUAUGUAAACACGACAUGUGGGCCUUUCCUCCAUAUUUCCUGAUAACCCCCUACAUAAAUAGACAAACACCAAAACUCGUGGAAUUCGGUCAGAUAAAACCCUAAGUUUGGGUGCUGGUUGUAUUUGGAUCCUUUUCUUUAUUUAUUUGAUGAUUAUAUUUGGUACUUAAGGAACGUCAACAAAUCCCCCAAGCUUACCUCUUGCUCGGCCUUGAGCAAGGAUGGACUCAAGAGUUUCUGCAGUGGUUUCAUGCCUUAAAAGGACACAUGCAUUCAAGCAAUAUUUCAUCUCCGAGUUAAAGUAAACUGUUAAGACUUAAAACUUACUCAUUUUUCCUUUCACCAUGGGGCUUGCAACCGUCACUUGUGUCUCGAGCAGUUAAAAGAUAGAACGGUCAAGUCAAGCGCCAUGUCUCGUAUUCUUGAUCAGCUAUAGCUCUAGAGUUUUUGCAGAUUUUCAAAUAAAACUCAGAGAUUCCUUGUAUGACUCUCUCUAUUCUCUCUUUUGUGGUAUUUCUAGAUCCUUACCAAGGCAGUAAUGGUAUAUGCCUUCUCUCAAAGUAUGUAGUAUUUGUGGUAUGAGGCAUAGUGAUAUUGCCUUCUCUCUCACCCUACUCUAAUAAAGUUUUGAUAUCUAGAGCUCAUAGGUGGGAGACAGAUUAAUACAUACUUACAAGACAUUUAUUGCAUAGUCAAACCAUGGAUCCAGAGAAACAAGUCAAUAAGUUAAAUCAAGAUGUGCAUGUGUGGCGAGUGAAUGGUGUAUGGUGAUAACAAUGGUGAAAGUCUAAUUCUACUUUUGCUCUUUUGAGGAGAUACCUACCUUUCUUGCACUUGAAGCUUUUUGAGGGGAAUGAGAUGCUCUAUAUUUUCUUUUUCUUUUCUCUCAGGUGGGUAUCUUGUACCCCUAAUUCUACUGUCGGACACUUGUCCAUUUUUACCUCUCGUCUCACUUUUUCUUUUCUUCGAGGUUCCGGGCACUUGUCCCUUUUUAUUUCCUCGUAUAUAUAUUUUUUUAGAGCACUCACCCUCCUAAAAUAAUGUAGCAAGUGGUAGUAACCAAAAUAUCUCGAGCAUUUAUUUUACGGGGAAUAACAGGGAUAGGAUAAUGUUUUUGGCUAUUCUCUCCUAGAUAGGAGUAGAAUAAUUUUAGGUGAAUCUGGAGAUGGGAAUGAGUGGAUGUAUGUGGAUGCAUACUUCCAGAGUAGAAGUAGCAUGUAUGAGUGAACGUGCAAGUGAAUCUUGAUUUUAACCGCAUAACAAGCUCCUAAGGGUCUACAUAGCUUGACCACACUCAACGCUUGUAUAUGUGGCUGGGGUAGGAUUUUAAACUCUCAUCAUACAGGAACUCAUCAUGCACAUAUUAAAGAUUUUCAAAGAUAAAAUUCUCCAGAAUUCUAGCAUCUCUAGGAACAGAUAAACAGCAGCUCAACCUUCCCAUAUCAUAUCCGUUAACGACUUAGACUUUAGAUAAAGUACUCUUCCCAUAAGUUCAGGUGUAGAGCAAAUCUUAAUUCAUAACAGUCAUGCCUAAACUUGAGAGAGAAUUCAAUUCUUAGAACUAGUGAUGGCAGAGCAACUAUUCAUCAUUUCCAUGUGAGAGCUUAUCAUAAGGGUUCAUAGCAAACUUUAUUUAUUUAUUUAUUUAGCAAACUAAGCAUAGAUAUAUAUAUAAGCAUAAAAUCUUUAUUUGGGUUUUUAUGAUUAUGCAUCUUUUUAUUAUUUAAGUAAAGUAUAAACACGAGUAGAAACACUUAGCUGGAUAAAUGGGGAUGCUCUCCCCCAAGCUGGAUUUUGACGUAAUUUCUUUUGAUGUAGCUAGCAGGUGGCGGAGGUGUAUUUGAAUGUCGGUAGCACCCUGACAGCGAUUAGGAUGUCCUCCGUCUUCUAGUCUUCUUUGAUCCUUGAAUUUUGUGGAGCUCAAAUAGACAACAAAGCUUUAUGGAACUAGUUAAGUGUUAGCAUAAAUAUCUAGCCUUUAUCAUGUUGAGCCUCCUCAAUAAAUGUUACUCUCUCUGGUAGGAUCAUAAAUUUAUUUUUAUAUUUUUAUUUUUAUAGGACAGGAAUAUAUUUAUUUUAUUUUUAUGCCACCACAGUGAAUGUACUUAUGGGUUUUAUGCCAUGAGCAUACUCACAUGGGGCUUACUAUUUUUAACAUUUUUAUUUUCUUUUCAAGAUAGCAUGAUUAACUAACAAGCCAUCUAAGAAAAGUAAAUAAUUUAAGGAAAAAGGGAAUACAAAAGGAUAAAUAUGUAUAACUACCGAUUUUACCUUUCGGCGAGGGUUUAAUGUUUUAAGUCUUCUGAAUAAGACUUCUCACCGUGUUUAUUCUUUAGGUGCGUCAUUUGAUUUAGGUGUGGACCUUGACAUCUGCACCUCUUGAUACAGUGUCACCCAUGUUCUUUGUUUGUCUAGCAGUUCGAGGUGUGGCAUUGGCAGUAUCUUGCUCAGUGUGUUUGUGCUCGCAGAUCCACGUCCUUCACUUGGUAGAGUUUGGGAAUUGAAAAAACCUCCAUGGUUCUCAAAAUGUGUCCUGCUCAUAGAGACAAGGCAGAGAUCAAGUGCAUGGGUCCUGUUGGUGGAAAACACCAACAGAACCAAAAGUAUAUUUAUUCUUCUCUAUCCUUAAGCUUAGGGAGCAAGACAAAGUUGAUGGGUGAUAAGUUCAUGAGUGUAGUAUUUAAAACAUUUAUCAGAUCAGAUCGCUCGACCUAAUGGAAAGAUAAUCUAUCUAUGUAUUUUUUCUUUUUCUUUAUAUCUUCCCAAAGAUUGAAUGUGCAACAUUUUAGCUCAUAUGAUUAGGAGUUUAGGAUCAUGGAGGUAGUACUAGGAACAAAGAUUAAAGGACUAAACAUGCUGAAUUAGUUGGGUUGGUUAAUUUAGAGUUAUAAAUCAUACAUGUUUGUCUCUUUUAUUCAUAUGAACGCCAGAACCAAGGAGAAGCUUAUAAAAGUGAUAGUCAACUGCCUUAAGAUGUUACCUUACUUGAAGAGUGAUGAUACAGUAUCACCUUGUGGAAGAUUUUCUUUCUUAGCAGUUGUGCAUCUUGUUUAUGUACUUUGUCUCCUUCCAUGGAUCAUCUCUCUAUGAUGAAUGAGCUAUGUCCUUCUUGUGC